GAUGAACGCUGGCGGCGUGCUUAACACAUGCAAGUCGAACGGAAAGGCCCAAGCUUGCUUGGGUGCUCGAGUGGCGAACGGGUGAGUAACACGUGGGUGAUCUGCCCUGCACUUUGGGAUAAGCCUGGGAAACUGGGUCUAAUACCGGAUAGGACCAUCGUUUAGUGUCGGUGGUGGAAAGUUUUUCGGUGUGGGAUGAGCUCGCGGCCUAUCAGCUUGUUGGUGGGGUAAUGGCCUACCAAGGCGUCGACGGGUAGCCGGCCUGAGAGGGUGUACGGCCACAUUGGGACUGAGAUACGGCCCAGACUCCUACGGGAGGCAGCAGUGGGGAAUAUUGCACAAUGGGCGCAAGCCUGAUGCAGCGACGCCGCGUGGGGGAUGACGGCCUUCGGGUUGUAAACUCCUUUCGCCAGGGACGAAGCGUUUUGUGACGGUACUUGGAGAAGAAGCACCGGCUAACUACGUG
This 466-nucleotide ribosomal RNA is filed under the name uncultured bacterium. RNAcentral describes it as "partial 16S ribosomal RNA". It matches the Rfam family "Bacterial small subunit ribosomal RNA", at positions 28 to 507 of the family's 1533-position model. The record is from RNAcentral.